This 263-nucleotide ribosomal RNA is filed under the name uncultured Staphylococcus sp. RNAcentral's name for it is "partial 16S ribosomal RNA". It matches the Rfam family "Bacterial small subunit ribosomal RNA", at positions 99 to 354 of the family's 1533-position model. Lineage: Bacteria; Bacillati; Bacillota; Bacilli; Caryophanales; Staphylococcaceae. The record is from RNAcentral.
CGGACGGGUGAGUAACACGUGGAUAACCUACCUAUAAGACUGGGAUAACUUCGGGAAACCGGAGCUAAUACCGGAUAAUAUUUUGAACCGCAUGGUUCAAAAGUGAAAGACGGUCUUGCUGUCACUUAUAGAUUGAUCCGCGCUGCAUUAGCUAGUUGGUAAGGUAACGGCUUACCAAGGCAACGAUGCAUAGCCGACCUGAGAGGGUGAUCGGCCACACUGGAACUGAGACACGGUCCAGACUCCUACGGGAGGCAGCAGGG